AUGGGAAAGGGUGACAGGGAGAAGGAAGCGAAGCACCGACGACGCGGCCGCAGCAGCAAGAGAUCGCGCAAUGCCACACCCUCGUCGGACUCUGAUUCUUCCCCUUUGUCGGACUCCUCUCCUAGCCGCAGCCCCGGGCCCCGGAGUCGCAGUAGCAGCAAACCUGAAAAGUCGUCCUCAUCUCGUCGCCGCCGCCAUCACCAUAAGAGCAGCGGCCGCUCACGCAGUUCCCGUGACGAUGAUAGACAUCGUCACCGGCGGAGGCGCCGGGAUGAGCGUGCCCGUCACAGCAGCGAUGGCAGCGACCUGUCGGGAUCAGGCUCAGAUGAUUCAGGAUGGAUGGAGGAGGCGCAGGAAAUCGUCCGUGGCAUUCUCAGUGAAUUCCCUGCCAUCACCAGUGAGCUUCGUCAGCUUCUCCAAAUGAUAGAUAGUGGUGAAGGCAUUGAUAUUUCCGGAAUUUCUGACAAGCCAUUAGUGAAGCAUUUGAAGAAACUUUUCAGAUCCCUGAAAUUGAAAGAAAGUGCAAAUGGAGCUUACUUGCUUUCAGCAAAAGGUGUUCCUACCCUUGAUGUUGUUGGACCAGUAUUAGAAGCAAGUGCCAAACAUGGAAAUGAUCCAAAUGAAACUGUGGCACGAAAUAGACAACAAGUACCGUUGCCUAACUUUGACGUACAAAAUAAAGAUGACAUCCCUCCUGAAGAUGGAGGAAAAGUUGACCGGGAAGAGGACACCCCUAUAAAGAGGGUAAUUGGUCCUGCAAUGCCAUCACGUGAAUUACUAGCUGCAGCAGCCGAAAUGACAGAGGCUCUUAGGUGCCGGGAUGCUGAAUUGGAAGCUGAUGAUGGAUUUCUUAUAGGUCCUCCACCACCAGCCAUGGUCGCUGAAGCUGCAUCUGCAAAUGAAGCCGAGCGAUUCGAAGAGGUUACUCGAAUAUUGGGUGCUGAUGCAGAUGCACUCUAUGAUGUUCUGGGCAUAAAUUGGAAGAUGUCGUCUGAUAACAUCAAGAAAAGGUAUUGGAAGCUAUCUCUUUUAGUGCAUCCGGACAAGUGCCCUCAUCCUUCAGCACAGGAGGCUUUUGUGAAAUUGAACAAUGCCUUUAAAGACUUACAAGACCCUCAAAAGAGAGGCGCAAUAGAUGAGAAGAUACAAAAGAAAGAAGAGAUGGAACAAUUCGAGGUUGAGCUUAAAGCAAUGCGCGAGGCUGCAGAAUGGAGACAAUUACAAGGUAUAUCUCUUGAAGGCGAUGAAGAACUUUUGGCAGUUCCGAAACAGCCAGAGGCACCACCUACACGAGAUGAAUGGAUGACUACAUUGCCACCUGAAAGAAAAGCUGGAGUACCAAUGCAUUCAACUACGGCAUUUAGCAUGAAUGGCAAAGAGGGACGUGGUGACACAAGUGCAUGGACAGAUAGUCCACUUGAUAGAGCCCAGAAAGCACAGCAAAACUACUUAGAAGCCUACAACAAAGCAAAGGCAAUUGCAGAUGGACAUGAAGAGCAGGGCAAAAGCGCAAAUGCUUCUCUUGUGGAUAAAUACAACUCCUCUAAGCGGUCGGUAUCUCUUGUGCAGAAGCACCGAGAGAGCAAAAAGGAGAAAAAAAAGCAGAAGCAACAACGAGGGAAGGAAGAAUGGGAGGAGAACCACCCAUGGAAGCCGUGGGACCGUGAGAAAGACUUGACCGCUGGGCGGCAAAAUGUGGCUUUGGAUCCAGAGAACACGGCACAAGGACUGUCGUCCCGUUUCUCAUCUGGAGCUGUGCAGAGGAACUUCCUGUGA
RNAcentral lists this ribosomal RNA (1776 nucleotides) under Triticum aestivum (bread wheat). RNAcentral describes it as "partial small subunit ribosomal RNA". The record is from RNAcentral. Lineage: Eukaryota; Viridiplantae; Streptophyta; Magnoliopsida; Poales; Poaceae.